AACGAACGCUGGCGGCGUGCCUAACACAUGCAAGUCGAACGGGAUUGGGGGGCUUGCUCCUCAAUCUAGUGGCGCACGGGUGAGUAACGCGUAGAUAAUCUGCCUGAUGAUCCGGGAUAACACUUCGAAAGGGGUGCUAAUACCGUAUAAGCCCACGGUUACUCUGGUAAUUGCGGGAAAAGGGGGGACCUUUAUGGCCUUCUGUCAUCAGAUGAGUCUGCGUACCAUUAGCUAGUUGGUAGGGUAAAGGCCUACCAAGGCUACGAUGGUUAGCUGGUCUGAGAGGAUGAUCAGCCACACUGGAACUGAGACACGGUCCAGACUCCUACGGGUGGCAG
Molecule: ribosomal RNA, 338 nt
Filed under: uncultured Pseudomonadota bacterium
Lineage: Bacteria; Pseudomonadati; Pseudomonadota
Description: bacterial SSU rRNA
Rfam family: Bacterial small subunit ribosomal RNA
Source: RNAcentral